AGUUGGUGCACUUUUGUGCACCAAACAGUUUGCAUGGGAGCAGUGCUGUCACAGCCUGAACCAGUGAUUGAGCACCUGGUGAGGGGGCGUAGCCAGUCCUGGGGACACAGGUGUGUGUGAACAAUUCAUCUGUGUGACCCAGGGUUCACCCCUCCCUAACCUCAUUUAAGGGCUGGCACCUGCAAGGGAAGGAUCUCAACUUGGAUACUGCCUCCUUUAGAGUGUUUGGUGAGCCUUGGUCCUCAGAAAGUGAUAUUAAAGGGCCGCUUCACCACUCCUGUCCCAUGUGAGAAAUGCAGGCAGAAAAUAAUUUUCCACGUAUCCGGACACACUUGUUCUUCAUCCAGAUGUCUUUCAUUACCAAGAUAAUUCUCUGAACAUGUGCAACAGUGCCUGGAAAUGCAACCUGAAAUUGGAAGAAAAUAUCAAGUUUUUAAAAGAUAUUUUUAUUUUAUUUUAUGAGUUUUUAAUGAACUGUACUGUGCUUGACAACAAAUGAAUACAGAGACUUUUAUCAGCUAUUUACCUAGCAUAUGUUUGCACAUUUAGCUUUCACAUUAGAGUCAUGCUUCCUAAUAGAUAGGUACAGAACUGUAACUGAACAGAAAUCCACUUUCAGGAUGUCCUUUUAAACACUCUCACUGUCCUUAGGUACACUGAACUUUUAAAGUAAAAUAAAAUAAAAAAGAUGAUCAGUAGCAGCACCAUCUCUAAGAUAGGAAUAGAGACUUUAAUAGCACUAAUUAUGUGCACGUAAACUGACAAAAUAUCCUGCUAAAUGAACGUGUAGGUGUCCACCUUAGAGUGUGAGCAGUUAAUUGCCUUCAUCACAGUUGGAGUAAUUGCACAGAUAUAUUUGUGUAUGGGUGUAAGGGUAUGUUUCACGCAUAAUAAUUGAAUCGACAUCUCUUACUUAUUUGCUUUCAGAGAUUUUGAUACACACUGCAGCACUGGGUAAGUCCUCUGCUGUAGCUCUUCCCCUCCUCUAUGUUAGAGCAUCCAUGCAGAAAUGUUUGAAAGAAUCAGUGUGGCCAUUGCUUGUCAGAGUCUCAAGUCUCAGAGUCUUGAGCUGUUAGCUAAGAACAUGCCAGAGCUGGAAACAUCUUCUUAAGACAGAAAUUUAACUAAGUUUAACUCAGUUGAUUUUCACCUAGAACAAAAAUGACUAUACCAGAGAUUCAAAAAGACAACCCUAACAGCCUUCAAAGUGAAACCAUUUGCUCUAACUGGAUAGACAAAAACUAACAAACAAAAACAAGCAAACAAAAAAAACAAAACAAAACCCUGCCAAUAUACUGCAUCUUGGUUUCAGAUUAAAUUCUUUGCAUUUGGUAAAAUAAAUCUAGCCUUUUUAAGUUAGAAAAUAUAUAUGUAUAUAAAUAUUUACAAAGGCUGCUCAGAAAGUAAUGCCUUCUAUUUUAUUAUGUUGGCCCAUGAAGUCAGAGGUGGAUGUUGGUGGGAAGGCAGUAGAGAUUGAACCUUCCUGCCAAUAUUCUGUUACUUCUUAUUGCCAUGCAACAGAUGACAGCAGAGGGGCAGUCUGACAAAAGGAUAUCUAACAUGGAAGUGUGUAUACAGUAAAGGUGUGUCACUGAAUUCCUCCAUGCGGAAGAACUGGCACCCACUGACAUUCAUCAAUGCUUGAGGAAUAUUUAUAGGGAACAAACAGUGGAUGUGAGCACACUGAUGCAGUGUGUGAUGCGUUUCAGCAGUGGUGACAUUGAUGGGAAAGGUAAGCCACAUUCCAGAUGACCAUGCACAACUGUCAGAACACCAAAUGAAGAGCAUCUCAAUCAGCUCACUUGCACUAAUUGGCAGAUUAUGAUCAAGGAACUGUAUAUAGAGCUCAAUAUCAGGUUCAAUGCAUUUGAAACAAUGGUGGUAAUGUUGGAAUAUUGCUAAGUUUGAGCUAGGAGGGUCCCACGAAUUCUCACACAAGGAACAGAAAGAACACUGUGUCCAAGUUUGUUAAGAUCUAUUGGACUAAUACGACGCUGAAGGUGACAGUCUCUUGCAUCACAUCAUUACUGGUGACAAGAUCCGAACUCAAAACAGCAGUCUCUGGAGUGGUGAUAUGUGAAUUCCCCAUGAAAGAAGAUGUUCAAGACAGCUCUCAGCAGAUAACUGAUUGGGAUAGGGGUGAUUUUCUGAAUUUACUAGAACCCAAACAAACCUUCAACUCUGACUGCUACGUUGCAAUCCUGACUAAGCUAAAGUCUUGAACUUUCAGAAUUAGGCCAGAGAAGAAGAGAAGACAACUUCUCUCUUGCAAUGUGAUAACACCAGGUGCUAUAUCACUUUGUAGACCAUGGAGUAUAUUGCCAAUCUUGGCUGUCCUAUCCCACACACCACGUAGCCUAGAUUUGACACCUUCUGGCUUCCAUCUGUUUGGGCCAGUCAAAGAUGGACUGUGUGGGCAACAUUUUCCCAGCAAUACACCAUCAUAGCAGCUGUGAAAAAGUGGGUUACUUCUGCUGGUGCAGAUUUUUAUAAGUGCGGCAUGCAAGUUCUUGUUCAUCACAGAUAAAAAUGCAUAGGUAAUGGUAGCGACUGUGUUGAAAAAUAGUGUUUUGUAGCUGAGAAUUUGUUCUAUCAAGUAGUGUUAUUGUGUUAUUUGAUGUCAUUUCCAUGAAAACAAUGGAGGCAUUACUUUUGGAGUGACCUUUGUGUGUAUGUGUAUGUAUAUAUGCGCAAAAUUAUAUGUAAAUUGAACAGUUUUGCCUUUGUGAAGCUAGGUGAAAAACACUCUAGAAGCAUAAGCCACAGGAACAGAAGCUGAAAUAAGAAUCCAUUGAAAUUCAUACCUCGAGUUUAUACGUUUUUAGAAGUGUAUUUUUCCCUUUCAGACUGGUGAGCUGAGGUCUUUAAUUGACAAAGAUGACCCAGUGCCUCACCCUUUACCCCCUAAACUUAAUUUUAAGUAAAACUCAUAUGCUUCUCUCUAGUGGUUCCUUUUUAAUUGCCUUGAAUGUCUGAACUCUGUUAAAAUGUUUGGAGUUUCCAAGUCCAGUUGUACACAGAAAAAAUUGCUAGUUUGCAAGCUGUAACUGAAGUCAGAGAUUAGGUAUUGAUCUCAAAAGAAAAUUACUAAGGAUUGUGGGAGAUCUUGCUCUGACAAGAAAGGAUGACUUUUGAGGCCUCCAAAGAUGCAAAAUUCUUUCAAUGAUGUGCAUUAGUGCUAAUCAGUAUGUGUUGCCAUGGUUCAGUAGAAGUCAGUGCUGAACUUCACAAAACUCUUUCAACCUUUUCUCUCUAACUGUAUAAAUGUGAAAGUAACAAUAAAUCUUGUUGACAAUUACUUCCACAUCUAUUGGCAGUCAGUCAGGUGCAAUGUGAACAGCAUUGUGCACAAUAUGGGUAGCACAGCCAACACCUAUUAACUAUCUCCCUAGUUUCUCCUGUGACUUACAGAACAUGUUAUUUUUCCCCAGUGAGUAGCCCUUUCAAAUGUUGAAUUAGUAAUAUUAGCACCAAAUACUACUAAUUUGUCAGCCAGGCUGUGUUUUUCCAAAGUGUUCACAAUAGGGGCUGAUAACUGCUUUGCAGUUCAGCAGAGCAAAGAUGAAAAUUCAGAAACUUUCUAAAUCAUUUGUAUAAGACUCAAAGUAGGUUUUUGUUUGUUUGUUUGUUUGUUUUUGUUUUGUAACCACUAGAAUAUUCAAUAUGUAUGUUUAAAAAAGAAAAAAAGUGGCAUUUCAGCUUCACUCAGCAAGAUACUUAACUGCAUGGUAAUAUGGAAGUAUAUAUUUAGGUUCUUUGAAGAACCAGAGCUAGAAACAUUUUUAAUAGCAUGAAAUCUUUGUUCAAAGAACACAUUGUCAGGACCACCUUUGUAUUUUCAGAUUUUAGUGGCUAGCUUAACUAAUAUUUAUGAAGAAGUAAAUCUCUCUGCUAUAAAUAACAAUUUUCUAUUGUAUAUAAUGCAUUCAUUGCUUGAACAGUUUUCAUUGACAUCAGUAUGAAACCUGUGCAAAUAAUUUUGUAGCAUAUGAAACUGAAAAUCACAAAUGGUUGAGGGUUG
RNAcentral lists this long non-coding RNA (4021 nucleotides) under Gallus gallus (chicken). RNAcentral describes it as "lncRNA (ENSGALG00010024405.1)". Lineage: Eukaryota; Metazoa; Chordata; Aves; Galliformes; Phasianidae. The record is from RNAcentral.